Schistocerca americana (American grasshopper) is the source of this 3372-nucleotide long non-coding RNA. RefSeq lists it as uncharacterized. The transcript has 2 exons. Lineage: Eukaryota; Metazoa; Arthropoda; Insecta; Orthoptera; Acrididae. The record is from RefSeq and is a predicted model, not a curated record.
CCGAGCGCGCCGCUGCCGCAGCCGCCCCCGCCACCAAGAGCUGCCCCUCGUCCCCCGUGCUGCGCCGCCCGCCGCAGCCUCCUCCACCGCGGCCUCCCUCUAGCCCCACCAACGACGACGAAUCCAAGUCCUCCUGUUGGGUGAAAAAGAAAAUUUUUCGGCCGAAGUCGUAACUGUCUACGUUUCCUCCAGUUUCUAAACAGUGUCAUAAAUGUCGAGGAUUUCUUCAGGUCAUCAGACAACCCAACUGUCCACAAUGAGAUCAAGAUCUCCCAUUGUUUCUCCUGGAGCCUCCUCCACUGUGGCUACCUGCUAGCAUCUCCAACAACAACAAGCGCAAACUUUCCUGCUGAGUGAAAAAGAAAAUUUUUCGGCCGAAGUCAUACAAGUCUAUGUUUCAUCCAAUUACCAAUCAAGUCAGUGCUCGACAAUCAAUUCAAAAAUUUCCUCUGUGUCCGACAUAGCCUCUUAUAGCGUAGCCACCUGCUAGCCUGAAAGGCGACAAGUCCAGAUCCGCCUACUGGGGAACAAGUAACCACACAGCCCGAAAGUCGCCAAGGAGUUCAAGAUCUCGCGAUGUUCUUCUGCAGCCUUCUCCACUGUGGGUGGCUACAUCCACCUCCCACGACGAAAAGUCCAAACUUUCCUGUUGGGUGAGGAAGAAAAUUCUCCAGAGGAAAUCGUAUGUUUCUGUCUAUUCUCCAGUCAUCAAGCAACACAACAGUCGACGAAAAUUUCAAGCAGCCUCCUCCAUAUGGCCAGUGCAGGCCUCUCCAACGGUGACGAAUAAAAAUCUCCCAUUCGAGCGAAGGAAAAAAAUUCAGCCAACGUCAUAAGUGUCCACGAUUUUCUGCGGCCACUGAUCAACUGAACUGUAACGAGUUAAAGACUACCUACACUGUAAAGCGUUUCUCUAGCAUAUGGUUUCUUGGAGCUAACAGCCACAAUGAUCACUGACGAGUACGUGAUCUGCCAGCUUUGAAAGAAGAAAGUGUUUAAGUCCAACGUAUAGCUGAUUUAGUUUCGCCUCCAACCGUCUAAAGAAACGGAGAUAUUGACUAGCCUCUCCAAUGAAGAGGAGUCCAAAUUUUCCUUUUGACUAGAGAACAAAGCUUUUCGGCCGAAUCUACAGGUGUCCACGGUAUUCCGUGCUCACCAAGCAACUCAGUUGUCGACAUCAUGUUCAGCACUGCCCACUAUAUAUAAAGACUCUCUAGAUCCUAGUCUAUGAUUUCCCAGUUCUGUUAGUCAGCUUUAUCACGAACAAGUUUAUCAUCUGCCUUUGGUGAAAGAGUAAGGAUACGAGGUUCAUCUCAUAGCUUUCUCAGUUUUUUCUCAAACCAUUCAAACAGAAUGACAUCCUGACUUCAUGCCAGGUAAAAAAUAGCAUUUGAAGGCCUCAUGAUUUUCAGCACUAACUAGAAUUCGUGCUGGCUAAAGAAGAAAACUUUGAAGUCCAAAAUGUAGCUCUUCGAUUUUCUGUCAAAGUUAUUGAUAUGUAAAGAGGAAAAUCUUCUUCAUCCUGGACGGAAAUUAGCGCGGUUUUCUCGUUCCACCAACAGGAAGAUAUCUGCUAGCGAAGAAAAUGUUGCAGUCUAAUUAUUCCCUUCCUCAAUUAGAACGAAAUGGAGUCAACACCUAGCGCUGUGUAAAGAGGAAGAUAUCUAGACCCAACAUGUAGGCUUGUAAUUAGUAGCCAAAACAUCCUGCUGGGUAAAGAAUCAAAUGUCUUUGGCUACAACGUAAUCACUCGUUUACCUCACAAGAACGCGAGAAAUGAAAAGGGAUCAAAUUUUAAGACUUCGUGUUACGUAAGGAAAAAAAUCCUUAGGUUAGAGAGGCAGCGUUCUAAUUAUUGCUGAUGGUACAUUCAAACAACUUUCCCGAAUUGAGAAAUAAUAUUAGAUCAAAGUAACAACAAGCGACAAAAAUGAAGCUAUCUCUUCUUACCAUAAGGGACGUCUUCUUCAUGGGAUAUACAGCAUCUUAAGCACAAAAUGCAGUACCCAGAAUGCUGUAGCCCGUUGGAGGUUUCUCUGGAAAAUGUUGAACCAUUCCGUUUAUCAAGUUUAUGACUCAGUAGGUAUAACGCGACAACAUUUAUGGCAGUUGGGUCACAUCACCUCGCUGAUGGUGUAGAAUUUGGACGGUGAUGAGUUCUUGCUCGGCAUAAAAGAGUUCACAACUGACCUCUUAUAACGCAUACCAAUGAGCUCAAUCAUUUGUUGUGUCCAAUCGGCUGUGCAUAUCCACUUAGUUGGCGCCAAUGUGAAACACAGUGACAACGCCACGGCCUGCGCUUGCGAGAAAACAGUUGCCUAACUGUUAUGAACGACAGCAUUUAUAUCAGCGUUCGUUGAGCACUGAUAACAAAGAUAAAAGGAAUAUAUUAUUUCAGGAGCGUGAUUGGCUGUUAGCGAAAAACGACUUUUGAGUGUUAUUUCAUGAAUGAUCGUGAACUGCAGUGCUAUAAUCUGACUUGAGGCUGCUCUAUAGUUGUUCAAAUUUUAGGGAAUAUUAGUGUCAGUCUGAAAUGUAAUGACUGUCGACUAUCUCCUGGAUCAAGCGUACUAAUGAAAAUAGUUUAUUGCAAUACAGAACGUGUUAGGCGAAGUAAAAUACGUGCAUGGAAGAUCGUAUUUCACACGAUCUUCGCGCGUUGUUUAUUUUCGCAGUUUUGGUAGAAGUAACGACGUUGCCAUUGUUUUUCAUGUUACCAACGUUGAUAUAUCGCGUGUUCACAGUAUGUGAAAAGAUAUUUUGUGCUGUUUAAUCAACUGUAAUACUCCGAAGUUCCGUCCGUUACACAGUAUAGUGACUCAUUACAUUUUACAGCUUCAUCGUUGGCAUUUUGUUGAAAAAUCUGGCCUACUGUCCUCUUAAUGAUUUGUUGGAAUGAAGUAGAAGCAUAAAAAAUAUUACGAAACUACAAUUCGCCCUUAUGUCGGUACAAGAUGACGAUCUAGCAGGUGGUUACACACUCAUCAGGUUACUUAAUGAAUUCGCCAAGAACUGCUGUGAAACCAUCAGAAAUAAUAAUAAACAAGAAACAAUUAAUCACGAAGUUUUCAUCUACAACAAAUAAAACUGUAAUUUGAUUUUUUCCUUCUAAUAUUGUGGCAACAUUUCCACAGUGUUGGAAUACCUUCAACCCAUGUGACAAUAUUGUGGCAGCAUUUCCACAUUGCUGGAAUACCUUCAAACUGUACGACAAUAUUACAAAUAAAUCAGACACAUGGCUAAAAAAUUUUAGUUUUAAGGACAAAAUUUGUACUGAAUAUUUGUUUGAUACACAUGUGUAAUACUAAAGUUUGUAUGAAAUAAUGGCUGUGUGUAAGAAGUGAACGAAAUAAAUAUUUUGUUUAGUGUCAA